This 492-nucleotide ribosomal RNA is filed under the name uncultured bacterium. RNAcentral describes it as "partial 16S ribosomal RNA". It matches the Rfam family "Bacterial small subunit ribosomal RNA", at positions 29 to 507 of the family's 1533-position model. The record is from RNAcentral.
AGUGAACGCUGGCGAUAGGCCUAACACAUGCAAGUCGAACGGCAGCACAGUAAGAGCUUGCUCUUACGGGUGGCGAGUGGCGGGCGGGUGAGGAAUACAUCGGAAUCUACUUUUUCGUGGGGGAUAACGAAGGGAAACUUACGCUAAUACCGCAUACGACCUACGGGUGAAAGCAGGGGAUCUUCGGACCUUGCGCGAUUGAAUGAGCCGAUGUCGGAUUAGCUAGUUGGCGGGGUAAAGGCCCACCAAGGCGACGAUCCGUAGCUGGUCUGAGAGGAUGAUCAGCCACACUGGAACUGAGACACGGUCCAGACUCCUACGGGAGGCAGCAGUGGGGAAUAUUGGACAAUGGGCGCAAGCCUGAUCCAGCCAUACCGCGUGGGUGAAGAAGGCCUUCGGGUUGUAAAGCCCUUUUGUUGGGAAAGAAAAGCAGCAGGUUAAUACCCCGCUGUUCUGACGGUACCCAAAGAAUAAGCACCGGCUAACUUCGUG